AUGUUUAGCUAUUCCACCUGGAAGCAGGCAGGGCACACCUUGACUGUUCUGUAGAAGCAAUGCACACAUUGCUCUAUCCAAGGACAAGGGCUAGAUAUGAACCAUGAAAACUUGAUUGUUAGGACAGCAACUGCGGGAGGCUUUCUUAGCCUGGGCUCAAGGCCUGAGAACCAGGAUUGUAGUAUAUAAAAGAUGCAACUAAGUAUAUUAAUCAACGUCAUACAUUCCUUUGUGUAUCUUUUUGCGGUAGCAGUGUGUAAUGCUUAGGGGGGAGAAAUAUAAUAAAAGGAGAAGGUGGAAGGCGGGGGGGCAGAACGCCCAUCUCAGCUGACCAGCCUGCUUGCUUGCAUAAAGCUGUGUUCUGUCUCAUCAUUGAACUGCCACAACUGGCGCCCAAACGUGGGGCCCUCAGCACUCACCUCGCCCGGCAAGGGUUUCAGACGCGUCACUCAUCCGCUUCGUGGAUCCCGGGCUGGUGGACACUGGAGCUGACGUUACGGUGAUUCGUGAUCUGGAGUGGCCGGACCGUUGUGGGUUCCAGCUCGGUGUGUGCGACCGGCACUUAAACAACAUGGCAUGGCACCAGGGGCUGUCGAAUCCCAUACCAGAGUUUCAGCUGACCUUGGAGGAGACCGCGUUGCCCCCCGAGUCGACAACGACAGGACGGAAACGGAGGAGGCGUAGUGUCCCAAACCGGCCCGUGACAUGGGGAGCAGUAAAAGCAUUGGUCGCCGCGGCCCAACGAAGGCUGGCAGCAGAUCAACAGCCAGAGACUCCUGAGACUUUGUUUGUGGCGAUUCUCGCCCAAAUCACUGCUAAUUCUGUGAUGAUUGUGUGCCUUUUGUGCCUGCUAUUUCCUGUAGGGGUUGGCUCGGAAGCGCUUCCCCCGUUACGAGCCCGAAUGACAUAUAACAUAUGGGAAAGAUUGGCUUCAAUAGCAAAUGUUACCCACUUUUGUCUAUCUAAUUCUGUAACAGCCGGAGAUUUGUUAGGUACAUGCCUUAUUCCAGUAUGUCAUCACCCUGAGGAGAUGGAGAAUAAGACACUGUUCUCUGCUUAUGCGAAUCUUUCCUCCCAGUACUCUAGCAUGGCUAAUUGGGGCC
This is a long non-coding RNA of Caretta caretta (loggerhead turtle), 1103 nucleotides long. RefSeq lists it as uncharacterized. The record is from RefSeq and is a predicted model, not a curated record. Lineage: Eukaryota; Metazoa; Chordata; Testudines; Cheloniidae.